This 77-nucleotide transfer RNA is filed under the name Alphaproteobacteria bacterium. Its description in RNAcentral is "tRNA-Met". It matches the Rfam family "tRNA". Rfam says of the family: Transfer RNA (tRNA) molecules are approximately 80 nucleotides in length. Their secondary structure includes four short double-helical elements and three loops (D, anti-codon, and T loops). Lineage: Bacteria; Pseudomonadati; Pseudomonadota; Alphaproteobacteria. The record is from RNAcentral.
CGCGGGGUGGAGCAGCUUGGUAGCUCGUCAGGCUCAUAACCUGAAGGUCGCAGGUUCAAAUCCUGCCCCCGCAACCA